CACCCUCCACCUUGACCUGCCCAAACCCUCGGCCCUAACCUGAACCACCCAAUGGGGGAGGGAGCGGUACGCAGUGACAGGCAGAGAACACUAUUGGACGAGGGGAACAUUUCAAUUCAGCUGUCGGCGACAGGUAAUCACGUCUUCUCGCAGUCGAGGACCAUUUCAGAAAAGGGAGAUGGAAUAGAGGCUUGUUUUGUCCACUCCUCACAUUGAUCUGGUAUUGUAGUACCUCCAUAGUUAGGUGCAACUUCCCCAGGAGCACUGUUAAAGUAUUUUGGAGGAGGCACUGACUCAGCCCAGGUGCAGUCCACCUCCUCAGGCUCAGCCAAGGCUACUGAAUCAGGUCCAUCUCCAUCCUCUGCUCCAUCCACUGCGCCCACUGUCUCCUCUGUGUCUGCUGCAACCUCAGCUCUACCUGGUCCAUCUCCAUCCUUUGCUCCAUCCACUGUGUCCACUGUCCCCUCUGUGUUGCAGUUUAUUUAAAACAAAAAAUAAUGAAACGGAUUGUGUUUACAGUAAAUUGGUUUAUUUUGUUACUUUUAGUUGGC
This is a long non-coding RNA of Epinephelus moara (kelp grouper), 551 nucleotides long. RefSeq lists it as uncharacterized. The transcript is spliced from 4 exons. The record is from RefSeq and is a predicted model, not a curated record. Lineage: Eukaryota; Metazoa; Chordata; Actinopteri; Perciformes; Serranidae.